RNAcentral lists this long non-coding RNA (243 nucleotides) under Nicotiana benthamiana. RNAcentral describes it as "long non-coding RNA (NBEN_LNC014709)". Lineage: Eukaryota; Viridiplantae; Streptophyta; Magnoliopsida; Solanales; Solanaceae. The record is from RNAcentral.
CUAAUUGUAUUGUAUUGUUACCUUGAAAAACUGCACAACUAAAUAUAUGGAGAAGAAAUUAUAACCAGGAGAUAAAAAAGACCUCAAUGGUCCCUUAAGUUCAGGGGAAAGUCUGUAACGGGGCUGUGAUGAUUGAUUGUUUUCCGAGCUUCAUGGAAUCAGGAUUUGAUAGGCCGUAUCUUGGCUGGGCUGCUCGAUAACGGGAUUUGCAGCAAUGGCAGUGCUUGAGAUGGAGGUCAGACC